Molecule: ribosomal RNA, 253 nt
Filed under: uncultured bacterium
Lineage: Bacteria
Description: partial 16S ribosomal RNA
Rfam family: Bacterial small subunit ribosomal RNA
Source: RNAcentral
UACGUAGGUGGCAAGCGUUAUCCGGAUUUAUUGGGUGUAAAGGGCGUGUAGGCGGGAGCGCAAGUCAGAUGUGAAAACUCAGGGCUCAACCCUGAGCCUGCAUUUGAAACUGUGUUUCUUGAGUGCUGGAGAGGCAAUCGGAAUUCCGUGUGUAGCGGUGAAAUGCGUAGAUAUACGGAGGAACACCAGUGGCGAAGGCGGAUUGCUGGACAGUAACUGACGCUGAGGCGCGAAAGCGUGGGGAGCGAACAGG